ACGAACGCUGGCGGCGUGCCUAAUACAUGCAAGUCGAACGCAUUUUCUUUCACCGUAGCUUGCUACACCGAAAGAAAAUGAGUGGCGAACGGGUGAGUAACACGUGGGUAACCUGCCCAUCAGCGGGGGAUAACACUUGGAAACAGGUGCUAAUACCGCAUAAUUCCAUUUACCGCAUGGUAGAUGGGUGAAAGGCGCUUUUGCGUCACUGAUGGAUGGACCCGCGGUGCAUUAGCUAGUUGGUGGGGUAACGGCCUACCAAGGCUGCGAUGCAUAGCCGACCUGGGAGGGUGAUCGGCCACACUGGGACUGAGACACGGCCCAGACUCCUACGGGAGGCAGCAGGAGGGAAUCUUCGGCAAAGGACGCAAGGCUGACCGAGCAACGCCGCGUGAGUGAAGAAGGGUUUCGGAUCGUAAAACUCUGUUGUUAGAGAAGAACAAGGAUGAGAGUGGAAAGUUCAUCCCUUGACGGUAUCUAACCAGAAAGCCACGGCUAACUACGUG
Molecule: ribosomal RNA, 506 nt
Filed under: uncultured bacterium
Lineage: Bacteria
Description: partial 16S ribosomal RNA
Rfam family: Bacterial small subunit ribosomal RNA
Source: RNAcentral